This 339-nucleotide ribosomal RNA is filed under the name uncultured Bacillota bacterium. RNAcentral describes it as "bacterial SSU rRNA". Lineage: Bacteria; Bacillati; Bacillota. The record is from RNAcentral.
UGAGAGAGGGAUAGCUUCKGGAAACGGAUGGUAAUACCUCAUAACAUAACGAAGCCGCAUGACUUUGUUAUCAAAGAUUUAUCACUCAGAGAUGGGCUCGCGUYUGAUUAGAUAGUUGGUGAGGUAACGGCCCACCAAGUCGACGAUCAGUAGCCGGACUGAGAGGUUGAACGGCCACAUUGGGACUGAGACACGGCCCAGACUCCUACGGGAGGCAGCAGUGGGGAAUAUUGCACAAUGGGGGAAACCCUGAUGCAGCGAUGCCGCGUGGAGGAAGAAGGUUUUCGGAUUGUAAACUCCUGUCUAAAGGACGAUAAUGACGGUACUUAGAAGAGGAAU